AACGCACAUUGCGCCCUCUGGUAUUCCGGAGGGCAUGCCUGUUCGAGCGUCAUUUCAACCCUCAAGCACUGCUUGGUGUUGGGGCACCGCCUGUAAAAGGGCGGGCCCUGAAAUCUAGUGGCGAGCUCGCCAGGACCCCGAGCGUAGUAAUUAUAUUUCGUUCUGGAAGGCCCUGGCGGUGCCCUGCCGUUAAACCCCCAACUUCUGAAAAUUUGACCUCGGAUCAGGUAGGAAUACCCGCUGAACUUAA
This 250-nucleotide unclassified non-coding RNA is filed under the name Fusarium sp. RNAcentral's name for it is "partial contains 5.8S ribosomal RNA, internal transcribed spacer 2, and large subunit ribosomal RNA". The stretch from base 1 to 52 matches the Rfam family "5.8S ribosomal RNA", at positions 103 to 154 of the family's 154-position model. The record is from RNAcentral. RNAcentral also lists the same sequence under 1 other name. Lineage: Eukaryota; Fungi; Ascomycota; Sordariomycetes; Hypocreales; Nectriaceae.